UACGUAGGUGGCAAGCGUUGUUCGGAAUUAUUGGGCGUAAAGGGCGCGUAGGCGGUUUGUUAAGUCAGCUGUGAAAGCCCGGGGCUCAACCCCGGAGGGUCAGCUGAUACUGGCAGGCUAGAGUACAGAAGAGGUAACUGGAAUUCCCGGUGUAGCGGUGAAAUGCGUAGAUAUCGAGAGGAACACCAGAGGUGAAGACGGGUUGCUGGGCCGACACUGACGCUGAUAGCGCGAAAGCCAGGGGAGCAAACGGG
RNAcentral lists this ribosomal RNA (254 nucleotides) under uncultured bacterium. RNAcentral describes it as "partial 16S ribosomal RNA". It matches the Rfam family "Bacterial small subunit ribosomal RNA", at positions 524 to 776 of the family's 1533-position model. The record is from RNAcentral.